Paramuricea clavata is the source of this 902-nucleotide non-coding RNA. Lineage: Eukaryota; Metazoa; Cnidaria; Anthozoa; Malacalcyonacea; Plexauridae. The record is from the annotation of a GenBank genome assembly.
GCAAAUGAUAUGAAAUUGCAUGUAUUUGCCACCAAACACAAGGCCAACACAUACAGUGAAAAAUUAAUUCACUCUGAUGACUGUGUCUCGAUUUAGAGUUGACCCCCCGUCAAAUUUAUGACGUCAUAUGAAACACAAUAAUAUACAGUAUAAUAUUACAGCUAAUUGUAGCAGAAAGUAUUUAAUGAUUUACAGUAAAUUUAUUGAGUAGUACAAUAUGCCAAAUUGGCAAUCCCUUCAUUAAUCUUGUCCACACAGUAAUUCAAAGAAGCCCUGCCCUCUGUACGAGGUUGUAUUAAUUGUGUCUCGAUUUAGAGUUGACCCCCCGUCAAAUUUAUGACAUCAUAUGAAACACAAUAAUAUACAGUAUAAUAUUACAGCUAAUUGUAGCAGAAAGUAUUUAACGAUUUUAAUUUAUUGAGUAGUACAAUAUGCCAAGGCAAUCCCUUUAUUAAUCUUGUCCACACAGUAAUUCAAAGAAGCCCUGCCCUCUGUACGAGGUUGUAUUAAUUGGAUUCUGUCCAAGAAAACGUCAUAAACCUUUUGAUCCAAAUGUUACAAAGUAUGAAUUCCAGAUUGGGAAACCAUAUAAAUAUUUUUAAUAAAUUCAUAUACUUUUUUAAAGAAAUGUUCUAUUCACAAAAAUAUUAAAUGAUAGUGAUCAGCCACCAAUACCAGAAUUCAUUUUCAUCAGCUUCCCCCUGGUUAUGACCCCCUGCAGGGAACCACCUAGGGUGCAGGUAUAAUUUUGUGAUGAAUGAUAAAAAAUUGCCCAAUGUAAUUAUGCCAAGCCAUAGAAAUAUUUUUAUUACCAUGGUCAUGACAACUACCCUGUCAGUUUGAUUGCAAUAUCAAAACUUGUUAUUUACACUAUAAAACAACACAUACCUACUCUGAGAAGG